RNAcentral lists this ribosomal RNA (115 nucleotides) under Oceanisphaera profunda. The record is from RNAcentral. Lineage: Bacteria; Pseudomonadati; Pseudomonadota; Gammaproteobacteria; Aeromonadales; Aeromonadaceae.
UUUGAUUGCCAUAGCGUUGUGGAACCACCUGAUCCCAUGCCGAACUCAGAAGUGAAACGCAUCCGCGCCGAUGAUAGUGUGGCAGCUGCCAUGUGAAAGUAGGUCACAAUCAAAC